GACGAACGCUGGCGGCGCGCCUAACACAUGCAAGUCGAACGAGAGAGAAGGAGCUUGCUUCUUCGAUCGAGUGGCGAACGGGUGAGUAACGCGUGAGGAACCUGCCUCAAAGAGGGGGACAACAGUUGGAAACGACUGCUAAUACCGCAUAAGCCCACGGGUCGGCAUCGACCUGAGGGAAAAGGAGCAAUCCGCUUUGAGAUGGCCUCGCGUCCGAUUAGCUAGUUGGUGAGGUAAUGGCCCACCAAGGCAACGAUCGGUAGCCGGACUGAGAGGUUGAACGGCCACAUUGGGACUGAGACACGGCCCAGACUCCUACGGGAGGCAGCAGUGGGGAAUAUUGCACAAUGGGGGAAACCCUGAUGCAGCGACGCCGCGUGGAGGAAGAAGGUCUUCGGAUUGUAAACUCCUGUUGUUGAGGAAGAUAAUGACGGUACUCAACAAGGAAGUGACGGC
RNAcentral lists this ribosomal RNA (456 nucleotides) under uncultured bacterium. RNAcentral's name for it is "bacterial SSU rRNA". It matches the Rfam family "Bacterial small subunit ribosomal RNA", at positions 28 to 497 of the family's 1533-position model. The record is from RNAcentral.